UUCCUCAGGCAUAGGUGCCGUCUUCACUCAGGUAUGGUGGGCCACGGACUUUCGUUCUGGCAUUGCAAGGCAGAAGGAGUGGUCAAGGAGUUCCGUCGUGGCUCGGUGGUUAAUGAAUCUGACUAGUGAACCACAAGAUUGCAGGUUCAAUCCCUGGCCUCGCUCAGUGGGUUAAGUAUUCAGCGUUGCCGUGAGCUGUGGUGUAGGUUGCAGGUGCAACUUGGAUCCUGAGUUGCUGUGGCUCUGACAUAGGCCAGUGGCUACAGCUCUGAUUAGACCCCUAGCCUGGGAACCUCCAUAUGCCACUGGUGCACCCCUAGAAAAGGCAAAACAAAAAAACAAAAAAAAGAAGAAGGAGUGGUCAAGAUUACUAAAUACGGUCCUGUCCACUUGGGGUCUAACUGCUCUUAUGGAUUUCCAGGCUUCCAAAUAAACCCAAUCCUAGGGGACAAAAGAUGUGAAUCCAUAUCAGAAGAGAGAGGCAGUUCUGGAUUCCUGAGGUAUUCAUUGAAGACUGAGUAAGUGUGGAGUUUCCAUCGUGGCUCAGUGGUAAUGAAUCCGACUAGUAUCCAUGAGGACCCAAAUUCGAUCUCUGCCCUCACUCAGUGGAUUAAGGAUCCAGUGUUGCUAUGAGCAGUGGUGUAAGGUUGCAGAUGCAGCUUGGAUCUUGCAUAGGCCAGCAGCUGCAGCUCUUUAUUGGACUCCUGCAUGUGCUACAGGUGCAGCUCUAAAAAGCAAAACCAAAACC
Molecule: long non-coding RNA, 748 nt
Filed under: Sus scrofa (pig)
Lineage: Eukaryota; Metazoa; Chordata; Mammalia; Artiodactyla; Suidae
Description: lncRNA (ENSSSCG00055020808.1)
Source: RNAcentral